GACGAACGCUGGCGGCGUGCCUAAUACAUGCAAGUUGAGCGAUGAAGCUUGGUGCUUGCUCCAAUUUGAAUAGCAGCGAACGGGUGAGUAACGCGUGGGGAAUCUGCCUAUGAGCGGGGGACAACAUUUGGAAACGAAUGCUAAUACCGCAUAAUAACUUUAAACAUAUGUUUUAAGUUUGAAAGAUGCAAUUGCAUCACUCUAAGAUUAUCCCGCGUUGUAUUAGCCAGUUGGUGAGGUAAAGGCUCACCAAGGCGAUGAUACAUAGCCGACCUGAGAGGGUGAUCGGCCACAAUGGGAAUGAGAAAAGGCCCAAGAUCCUACGGGAGGCAGCAGUAGGGAAUCUUCGGCCAUGGACGAAAGUCUGACCGAGCAACGCCGCGUGAGUGAAGAAGGUUUUCGGAUCGUAAAACUCUGUUGGUAGGGAAGAACGUUGGUGAGAGUGGAAAGCUCAUCAAGUGACGGUAACUACUCAGAAAGGGACGGCUAACUACGUG
This 497-nucleotide ribosomal RNA is filed under the name uncultured bacterium. Its description in RNAcentral is "partial 16S ribosomal RNA". It matches the Rfam family "Bacterial small subunit ribosomal RNA", at positions 28 to 507 of the family's 1533-position model. The record is from RNAcentral.